GCCAGGUUUGGCACGGUGGUGUGCACCUAUAGUCCCAGCUACUUGGGAGGCUGAGACGGAUGGAUGGCUUGAAUUCAGGAGUUCUGGGCUGUAGUGUGCCAUGCCAAUGUAGUGUCUGCACAAAGUUCAGCAUCAAUAUGGUGAUCUCUCGGGAGAGAGGGACCACCAGUUGCCUAAAGAGAAGUGAACUGGCCCAGGUUGGAAAAGGAACAGAUCAAAACUCCUGUGCUGAUGAGUAGUGGUAUCUCACCUGUGAAUAGUUGCUGCACUCCAGCCUGGGCAAUAUAGUGAGAUCCUGGCUCU
This 303-nucleotide signal recognition particle RNA is filed under the name Pan paniscus (pygmy chimpanzee). RNAcentral's name for it is "Metazoan signal recognition particle RNA (ENSPPAG00000002300.1)". It matches the Rfam family "Metazoan signal recognition particle RNA". From Rfam's summary of the family: The signal recognition particle (SRP) is a universally conserved ribonucleoprotein. Lineage: Eukaryota; Metazoa; Chordata; Mammalia; Primates; Hominidae. The record is from RNAcentral.